UACGACGGGGGCUAGCGUUGCUCGGAAUCACUGGGCGUAAAGCGCACGUAGGCGGCUUGUUAAGUCAGGGGUGAAAUCCUGGAGCUCAACUCCAGAACUGCCUUUGAUACUGGCGAGCUUGAGUUCGGGAGAGGUGAGUGGAACUGCGAGUGUAGAGGUGAAAUUCGUAGAUAUUCGCAAGAACACCAGUGGCGAAGGCGGCUCACUGGCCCGAUACUGACGCUGAGGUGCGAAAGCGUGGGGAGCAAACAGG
Molecule: ribosomal RNA, 253 nt
Filed under: uncultured bacterium
Lineage: Bacteria
Description: partial 16S ribosomal RNA
Rfam family: Bacterial small subunit ribosomal RNA
Source: RNAcentral